GGACAGAAAGCAGUAAAAGUAUCUGAGAAGAGCCCAGGAUGGGCCAAUUCUGACUCUUCCUUAGACCUGGGGUUACAGUUGAUACUAAUUCUGGAGAAAGCCCGUUUCCUUCAGCCUCUCCAUUUGGAGACCACCUCUCCUUAAAGAAACCUCCCCUUGGAGAGAAUUUUAGUUAAGCCCUCACAUAGGCUCUUACCUGAACGUUGUGAAUGAGCUUCGGGGGCCUUGCUUUUGGGAGAAGUCUUUGGCAAAAAUCUUUCUGAAAUAAGGUGUAGUUUUUGUCUGGUACCCCAAGGUUCUCCAUCCUGAAACUUCCAGACUUGGCAAGCAGUUCUUUGGGCAGAUAAAGUUGGAAUGAUUUUUGCACACCUGUUCCCAGAAGUGCAGAGCUGUUUCUUUCGCGGGCCACUGCUGGUAAGAAUUUGAUUGGUAGUCUCCUUUAUUCUUGUCACCCUGCAAAUCUCCAAACCUUUCCUUGUGCACCUGUGAGAGUGACAGAGAAGGAAUGCCAGUCACAAAGCUAUUUUACUUCCUGUUUCAGAAUGUGCCAGCCCACAUUAGUGACCUAGGGUCUCAGUGCUUGGCCUUGGUUAAAGUGGAACACAGUGUGCUGCCCGGAGGCUGUGCAGGGCUUCCUGAAAGAGCCGCACUGGGCUGAGGAAGUUGCUUCAGGGCCCAUUCUCUGAGGUUAGAAUCACAAUCCCCGGGUCUCUUUCCUUUCCUCCCUUUUUUUUUUUUUUUUUUUUUUUUUGCCUGUAUAAAGGAAGAGUGGUAUUUGCAGCUCAGGGACAGAUUCUC
Molecule: long non-coding RNA, 798 nt
Filed under: Mus musculus (house mouse)
Lineage: Eukaryota; Metazoa; Chordata; Mammalia; Rodentia; Muridae
Description: long non-coding RNA chr4:33513005-33513803
Source: RNAcentral